RNAcentral lists this ribosomal RNA (903 nucleotides) under uncultured bacterium. RNAcentral's name for it is "bacterial SSU rRNA". It matches the Rfam family "Bacterial small subunit ribosomal RNA", at positions 8 to 931 of the family's 1533-position model. The record is from RNAcentral.
AGAGUUUGAUCAUGGCUCAGGACGAACGCUGGCGGCGUGCCUAACACAUGCAAGUCGAGCGAUGAAGCCUUUUGGAGCUGAUUAGCGGCGGACGGGUGAGUAACACGUGGGUAACCUGCCUCAAAGAGGGGGAUAGCCUCCCGAAAGGGAGAUUAAUACCGCAUAACAUUAGUUUUUCGCAUGAAGAACUAAUUAAAGGAGUAAUCCGCUUUGAGAUGGACCCGCGGCGCAUUAGCUAGUUGGUGAGGUAAAGGCUCACCAAGGCGACGAUGCGUAGCCGACCUGAGAGGGUGAUCGGCCACAUUGGAACUGAGAUACGGUCCAGACUCCUACGGGAGGCAGCAGUGGGGAAUAUUGCACAAUGGGCGAAAGCCUGAUGCAGCAACGCCGCGUGAGUGAUGAAGGCCUUCGGGUUGUAAAGCUCUGUCUUUGGGGACGAUAAUGACGGUACCCAAGGAGGAAGCCACGGCUAACUACGUGCCAGCAGCCGCGGUAAUACGUAGGUGGCAAGCGUUGUCCGGAUUUACUGGGCGUAAAGGAUGCGUAGGCGGAUAUUUAAGUGAGAUGUGAAAUUCCCGGGCUUAACUUGGGAGCUGCAUUUCAAACUGGAUAUCUAGAGUGUGGGAGAGGAGAAUGGAAUUCCUAGUGUAGCGGUGAAAUGCGUAGAGAUUAGGAAGAACACCAGUGGCGAAGGCGAUUCUCUGGACCAUAACUGACGCUGAGGCAUGAAAGCGUGGGUAGUAAAUAGGAUUAGAUACCCUGGUAGUCCACGCCGUAAACGAUGAGUACUAGGUGUAGGAGGGUCCAACCUUCUGUGCCGCAGUUAACACAAUAAGUACUCCGCCUGGGAAGUACGAUCGCAAGAUUAAAACUCAAAUGAAUUGACGGAAUCGGACGGGAAUC